AGUGAACGCUGGCGGUAGGCCUAACACAUGCAAGUCGAACGGCAGCACAGUAAGAGCUUGCUCUUACGGGUGGCGAGUGGCGGACGGGUGAGGAAUACAUCGGAAUCUACUUUUUCGUGGGGGAUAACGUAGGGAAACUUACGCUAAUACCGCAUACGACCUACGGGUGAAAGCAGGGGAUCUUCGGACCUUGCGCGAUUGAAUGAGCCGAUGUCGGAUUAGCUAGUUGGCGGGGUAAAGGCCCACCAAGGCGACGAUCCGUAGCUGGUGUGAGAGGAUGAUCAGCCGCACGAGAGCUGAAACAGGGACCAGGCUCCUACGGGAGGCAGCAGUGGGGUAUGUUGGACAAUGGGCGCAAGCAUGGUCCAGCCAUACCGCGUGGGUGAAGAAGGCGUUCGGGUUGUAAAGCCCGUUUGUGGGGAAAGAAAAGCAGCAGGUUAAUACCACGCUGUUCUGACGGUACCCAAAGAAGAAGCACCGGCUAACUACGUG
RNAcentral lists this ribosomal RNA (492 nucleotides) under uncultured bacterium. RNAcentral's name for it is "partial 16S ribosomal RNA". It matches the Rfam family "Bacterial small subunit ribosomal RNA", at positions 29 to 507 of the family's 1533-position model. The record is from RNAcentral.